RNAcentral lists this ribosomal RNA (981 nucleotides) under Escherichia coli. Its description in RNAcentral is "bacterial SSU rRNA". It matches the Rfam family "Bacterial small subunit ribosomal RNA", at positions 1 to 952 of the family's 1533-position model. The record is from RNAcentral. Lineage: Bacteria; Pseudomonadati; Pseudomonadota; Gammaproteobacteria; Enterobacterales; Enterobacteriaceae. RNAcentral also lists the same sequence under 9 other names.
UAUUAUGAGAGUUUGAUCCUGGCUCAGGACGAACGCUGGCGGCGUGCCUAAUACAUGCAAGUCGAACGCUUCUUUCCUCCCGAGUGCUUGCACUCAAUUGGAAAGAGGAGUGGCGGACGGGUGAGUAACACGUGGGUAACCUACCCAUCAGAGGGGGAUAACACUUGGAAACAGGUGCUAAUACCGCAUAACAGUUUAUGCCGCAUGGCAUAAGAGUGAAAGGCGCUUUCGGGUGUCGCUGAUGGAUGGACCCGCGGUGCAUUAGCUAGUUGGUGAGGUAACGGCUCACCAAGGCCACGAUGCAUAGCCGACCUGAGAGGGUGAUCGGCCACACUGGGACUGAGACACGGCCCAGACUCCUACGGGAGGCAGCAGUAGGGAAUCUUCGGCAAUGGACGAAAGUCUGACCGAGCAACGCCGCGUGAGUGAAGAAGGUUUUCGGAUCGUAAAACUCUGUUGUUAGAGAAGAACAAGGACGUUAGUAACUGAACGUCCCCUGACGGUAUCUAACCAGAAAGCCACGGCUAACUACGUGCCAGCAGCCGCGGUAAUACGUAGGUGGCAAGCGUUGUCCGGAUUUAUUGGGCGUAAAGCGAGCGCAGGCGGUUUCUUAAGUCUGAUGUGAAAGCCCCCGGCUCAACCGGGGAGGGUCAUUGGAAACUGGGAGACUUGAGUGCAGAAGAGGAGAGUGGAAUUCCAUGUGUAGCGGUGAAAUGCGUAGAUAUAUGGAGGAACACCAGUGGCGAAGGCGGCUCUCUGGUCUGUAACUGACGCUGAGGCUCGAAAGCGUGGGGAGCAAACAGGAUUAGAUACCCUGGUAGUCCACGCCGUAAACGAUGAGUGCUAAGUGUUGGAGGGUUUCCGCCCUUCAGUGCUGCAGCAAACGCAUUAAGCACUCCGCCUGGGGAGUACGACCGCAAGGUUGAAACUCAAAGGAAUUGACGGGGGCCCGCACAAGCGGUGGAGCAUGUGGUUUAAUUC